ACAUAAGGAGCCAAAUCUGAGCUGCAGCUGACAGCAGCCAGAAGUUGCCCGCUCUCCAUGCACUUCUUUCUGGAGCAGACAACCUGAAGAUGACUGCUUGGACUCCAGGAGACAAGUAGGUGAAACAGAAGGUAUAUGCCCUGAAGACAACUGAAGAAGAGGUGAUACUGAUAAAAUAGCAACAUCUGGAUCAGCUAUGGCCACAAAAGACCCCAAGGCAGAUGACUCUCUGCUCAAAGAAAAAAGGGGUCCAGACCUCCAAGAGAUGCUGACAAAAGAAGGAUUGUCUGUUGAAUACUGGUUGCCGAAGCUCCGGGAACACCUCGGUGUGACCCAUGCCCAGGCCUUACAACACAUAGACAGAAAGGAACUCCAGAAGCUGAAAUUGCAGGUGCAGCAUCCAUGGGAGAAAAGUGC
Molecule: long non-coding RNA, 417 nt
Organism: Perognathus longimembris pacificus (Pacific pocket mouse)
Lineage: Eukaryota; Metazoa; Chordata; Mammalia; Rodentia; Heteromyidae
Exons: 3
Source: RefSeq, a predicted model, not a curated record